This is a long non-coding RNA of Hipposideros armiger (great roundleaf bat), 427 nucleotides long. RefSeq lists it as uncharacterized. The record is from RefSeq and is a predicted model, not a curated record. The transcript is spliced from 3 exons. Lineage: Eukaryota; Metazoa; Chordata; Mammalia; Chiroptera; Hipposideridae.
CUGCUUUCUGUUUUCUCUCAAAAAGCCGUGAAUGAUGAGACGACAAAAUAUUGGAUUGUUUGUGCUCUUGAAACAGAUGUCACCUGAGUUGUGACAGCAGAAAUUUAGACAAUUAGGACACUGACCCUGGGGCGUGUGUUUCUUCUGCUCUCCUUGUCCUCCUGUGCCUGGAGACAUGCUGUUGAAAGGACCAUCAUUUCUCCCAUGCUUUGUUGGUAACACGUCUAUGUUUCUGCCUUCAAAAAGGAAGAGGAGUGAGAAUUUUCAAGAGCAGGCAUAUCCUUUCUUCUCUGGAUCCCUGGAGACUGACACUAGAAGCCUUGUUAGAAUGAGGACUUCUGGGAAGGCAGGAGGAGAGAAGAUGUGACUUAGAAACAAAGAACAUCUAGAAGAGUCGAAUGCCCAACUGCUCGUAACUCAAGCCAAU